This 911-nucleotide ribosomal RNA is filed under the name uncultured bacterium. Its description in RNAcentral is "bacterial SSU rRNA". It matches the Rfam family "Bacterial small subunit ribosomal RNA", at positions 8 to 898 of the family's 1533-position model. The record is from RNAcentral.
AGAGUUUGAUCCUGGCUCAGGAUGAACGCUGGCGGCGUGCCUAAUACAUGCAAGUCGAGCGAACAGACGAGGAGCUUGCUCCUUUGACGUUAGCGGCGGACGGGUGAGUAACACGUAGGUAACCUACCUAUAAGACUGGGAUAACUUCGGGAAACCGGAGCUAAUACCGGAUAAUAUUUCGAACCGCAUGGUUCGAUAGUGAAAGAUGGCUUUGCUAUCACUUAUAGAUGGACCUGCGCCGUAUUAGCUAGUUGGUAAGGUAACGGCUUACCAAGGCAACGAUACGUAGCCGACCUGAGAGGGUGAUCGGCCACACUGGAACUGAGACACGGUCCAGACUCCUACGGGAGGCAGCAGUAGGGAAUCUUCCGCAAUGGGCGAAAGCCUGACGGAGCAACGCCGCGUGAGUGAUGAAGGUCUUCGGAUCGUAAAACUCUGUUAUUAGGGAAGAACAAACGUGUAAGUAACUGUGCACGUCUUGACGGUACCUAAUCAGAAAGCCACGGCUAACUACGUGCCAGCAGCCGCGGUAAUACGUAGGUGGCAAGCGUUAUCCGGAAUUAUUGGGCGUAAAAGCGCGCGUAGGCGGUUUUUUAAGUCUGAUGUGAAAGCCCACGGCUCAACCGUGGAGGGUCAUUGGAAACUGGAAAACUUGAGUGCAGAAGAGGAAAGUGGAAUUCCAUGUGUAGCGGUGAAAUGCGCAGAGAUAUGGAGGAACACCAGUGGCGAGGCGUUUUUUCUGGUCUGUAACUGACGCUGAUGUGCGAAAGCGUGGGGAUCAAACAGGAUUAGAUACUCUGGUAGUCCACGCCGUAAACGAUGAGUGCUAGGUGUUAGGGGGUUUCCGCCCCUUAGUGCUGCAACUAAACGCAUUAAGCACUCCGCCUGGGGAGUACGACCGCAAGGUUGAA